RNAcentral lists this ribosomal RNA (225 nucleotides) under uncultured bacterium. Its description in RNAcentral is "partial 16S ribosomal RNA". It matches the Rfam family "Bacterial small subunit ribosomal RNA", at positions 524 to 745 of the family's 1533-position model. The record is from RNAcentral.
UACGUAGGGUGCAAGCGUUGUCCGGAAUUAUUGGGCGUAAAGAGCUCGUAGGCGGUCUGUCGCGUCUGCUGUGAAAACUCAGGGCUUAACCCUGAGCUUGCAGUGGGUACGGGCAGACUAGAGUGCGGUAGGGGAGACUGGAAUUCCUGGUGUAGCGGUGAAAUGCGCAGAUAUCAGGAGGAACACCGGUGGGCGAAGGCGGGGUCUCUGGGCCGUAACUGAACG